Long non-coding RNA from Scatophagus argus, 733 nucleotides. RefSeq lists it as uncharacterized. NCBI's taxonomy places the organism in Eukaryota, Metazoa, Chordata, Actinopteri, Scatophagidae. The transcript is spliced from 4 exons. The record is from RefSeq and is a predicted model, not a curated record.
GCCGUGAAAAGGCACGCAGUUCUCCUGCCUCUUGGUAGGGGGCACUCGUGAGCUCAGGGAUUCUUCUUACGACUCCUCGACUGCAGAAUAAGUGACAGCAAGCUACAAUCUAGAGUUAGCAAGUCAAGUGCAGCCAAAAUGUACUUUCAAAAUGGAGGAUUACAUGUACAGAAGGAGCGGCACAUGGACUUCAUUUAUAAGUAAAGGGAGACCAAAUUAACAGAGACAAGCGUGGAGGAAGAGGAGGCCUUAAAGAGCUGCCUCACCCCAAAUGGUUUGUGACAGCAUCACUGCCUCUCUUCCAGCGGCUGCGUCUGGGAGCAGAACGUCGCAGGGCAUUGGCCGGAGACUAUGAAUCUGAGCCGGCCGUCGCUUCAGAGACGACAGGACAGGAAGUGAAGAGGGGCGGGUGUUUGGACCGCAGGAAGGAAAGGGAGCAAAAUAGGAAACGAGCAGACGGAGGCUCCGUUAAUGAGGUGAACGGCAAGAAUGGAAAAGGUGGACUUUGGAGUGCAGCCUGUGGAUUUUGUCUGCCAUCACCCACAUUACAACAGGAGGAAUCGUUUCCUUGCCAGAACAGACAGGAGGAAUAAUCGUACGUGAGCACAUGUGAGUAUUGCGUUACUGUAAGACAAAUUUGAAAAACCUGAACCUAUUGCUUAUAACCUUUUCAAUAAUAAGCAUUUUGUCAUGAUGGAAGGACAGCUAAUUACAUGCAAGAGGAUAAACACCA